CCAAGUAGAUGCUGCUACAUCUUUUGAGUUACAAAAGAUACAAAACGUAGCAAAACAAUAGAUGCAGCAAUAUACAACAAUUUCAUAUUGACGGUUCGGCAAUCCGUUGUUAUUCCUUCAAGAAUGUCCAGGCAGACAGCUACAGUGUUCCAAAUGGCUUAUGUUUCUUUCUCAUCAUCCUUCCUAGUGGUGAAAUCAGAAAUUUCCUCAAGGGUGUUUAAAUUUGAAAUAAGUAAAAAAAAAAAUCCCGAUAAAGAGUGUUCAAUAUAUGUAAUAUACCUCUAAAACAUGAUAUUUUACCUAUAU
RNAcentral lists this long non-coding RNA (306 nucleotides) under Nicotiana tabacum (common tobacco). RNAcentral's name for it is "long non-coding RNA (NTAB_LNC000522)". The record is from RNAcentral. Lineage: Eukaryota; Viridiplantae; Streptophyta; Magnoliopsida; Solanales; Solanaceae.